Molecule: ribosomal RNA, 463 nt
Filed under: uncultured bacterium
Lineage: Bacteria
Description: bacterial SSU rRNA
Rfam family: Bacterial small subunit ribosomal RNA
Source: RNAcentral
CCAGACUCCUACGGGAGGCAGCAGUGAGGAAUAUUGGUCAAUGGGCUAAGGCCUGAACCAGCCAAGUCGCGUGAGGGAAGACGGUCCUAUGGAUUGUAAACCUCUUUUGUCGGGGAGCAACGAGGCCACGUGUGGCCGAAGUGAGAGUACCCGAAGAAAAAGCAUCGGCUAACUCCGUGCCAGCAGCCGCGGUAAUACGGAGGAUGCGAGCGUUAUCCGGAUUUAUUGGGUUUAAAGGGUGCGUAGGCGGAACAUUAAGUCAGCGGUAAAAUCGAGGGGCUCAACCCCUUUAAGCCGUUGAAACUGGUGAUCUUGAGUGGGCGAGAAGUAUGCGGAAUGCGUGGUGUAGCGGUGAAAUGCUUAGAUAUCACGAAGAACCCCGAUUGCGAAGGCAGCCUGCCGCAGCGUUACUGACGCUGAAGCUCGAAAGCGCGGGUAUCGAACAGGAUUAGAUACCCCCGUA